Molecule: ribosomal RNA, 254 nt
Filed under: uncultured bacterium
Lineage: Bacteria
Description: partial 16S ribosomal RNA
Rfam family: Bacterial small subunit ribosomal RNA
Source: RNAcentral
UACGUAGGGAGCAAGCGUUGUCCGGAUUUAUUGGGCGUAAAGGGCUCGUAGGCGGUUUGUCGCGUCGGGAGUGAAAUCCACUGGCUUAACUGGUGGCUUGCUUUCGAUACGGGCAGACUGGAGGUAUGCAGGGGGAGAACGGAAUUCCUGGUGUAGCGGUGAAAUGCGCAGAUAUCAGGAGGAACACCCGUGGCGAAAGCGGCUCUCUGGGACGGUACUGACGCUGAGACGCGAAGGCUAGGGGAGCGAACGGG